This 380-nucleotide ribosomal RNA is filed under the name uncultured gamma proteobacterium 400m-ATT-3. Its description in RNAcentral is "bacterial SSU rRNA". It matches the Rfam family "Bacterial small subunit ribosomal RNA", at positions 8 to 390 of the family's 1533-position model. The record is from RNAcentral. Lineage: Bacteria; Pseudomonadati; Pseudomonadota; Gammaproteobacteria.
AUAGUUUGAUCAUGGCUCAAAUUGAACGCUGGCGGCAGGCCUAACACAUUCAAGUCGAACGGUAACAGGGAUUAGCUUGCUAAUCGCUGACGAGUGGCGGACGGGUGAGUAAUGCUUGGGAACUUGCCUUUGCGAGGGGGAUAACAGUUGGAAACGACUGCUAGUACCGCCUAAUGUCUACGGACCAAACGGGGCUUAUGCUCCGGCGCAGAGAGAGGCCCAAGUGAGAUUAGCUGGUUGGUACGGUAACGGCUUACCAAGGCGACCAUCUCUAGCUGUUCUGAGAGGAAUAUCAGCCACACUGGGACUGGAGACACGGCCCAUACUCCUACCGGAGGCAGCAGUGGGGAAUUUUGCACAAUGGGGGAAACCCUGAUGCA